RNAcentral lists this unclassified non-coding RNA (1467 nucleotides) under Hevea brasiliensis (rubber tree). Lineage: Eukaryota; Viridiplantae; Streptophyta; Magnoliopsida; Malpighiales; Euphorbiaceae. The record is from RNAcentral.
GUCUGAUUUGUAGACAGUACUUUGGUAAAAAAUGUACCCUCUGUGUCUAUGAUGAAUUAGCGCAUACCCAAACUAGAGAAUAGCAUGAACCUGAGAUGCUGAAUAUAGUUGCAAAGACCCCUUCCUCCAAUUUGNNNNNAUUACCAAGGAGACAACAACAAACUAACUACUCAAAACUCACAUAUUUAUCUUUCAGAUACUGUCAAAUUUGUUUGGUUCAAGGAUUCUGAUUCACUGUUCACCUCGCUCUCUAACUGGCCAUCUAAAAUUUGCAAAACAUUCUCUGGUGGGCAUUUAUCAGCAGGAUUCUGUGUAUCUGUUUGGCAGAAACAUUCAGGCCAAGAAUUUGUAUAAAAUGAUUCAGGUGAAAUUCGCUUGUGAGGACCUCCAAAGUUUGUUUUGAGCAUGACACGCCUAACAGCUUCUUCAAAACCAGCUGUACGACCAUUCUCUCGAUCAAUGAAAACAGGGGCAAGACCAUCCUUUUCGUUUAGGUUAAAAGAAUACCCGAAAAGCCAUAAUAAAGGCGGUGACCUAGGAGAUUGUUGGCAAAAUUGCUUGGUCCAUCAUAUGUAGGCAUAAAAAUGUCAGCAAGGAGACAGACCAUAUAAUCCACAGCAGAUCCUAACAAUCCACGAGUGUUCGUGGCUAGCUCCUCUGUUGCGUCUACGGAACUGUGAUUCUCAAGUCGAGGGAACAGGGCUUUAAAAGGUUUCAUAAAUCUUUCUCCACCAAACAGUUCACCAGCUGCUAGAUAUAUCCGGGAGGAAUUGUCAAACCCCAUUGCACGUAAGAUAAGACCAACCUCUUCCGGAGUCAAGGGGCAUUUUCCAAUUGCCCUCCUUUCACUAUAAACAAGUCUUUUCUCAGCAAAGUUUUCCUUGCGAUACUUCUUCAAUAUUUUUUGCUCUGCAGGUUUAAAUAUGUCAAAACACCCAGCAAAUGCCAGCAUGUCCAUCUCGAAACGAAGGUGUAUCGCCAUGAAGUGACCUUUUGCACGUAAUUUAUCAACUAUUGACUCACUUAGCUUCAUAAUAUGUGGCUUGAAUCUUAGGGCAUGGUAGUUAACCCUGCACCUCAGUCGCUGGUACUCAGGGUUGUCGAUUUCUUCAGCUAAACGAUGUGAAAAAGGAGUCAAAUAAAUAGCUCCAUGUUGCUUCAUCUUCUCCAGAGCAACAGUUGUAUACCAAUCAAUAGGAGCAUCUCUAGGGGGCCGCAGCUGAAAAGCCUUUAUCUUCUUGGUUUUCCCAUUUUUAUGAAUUUCUGGUAUCCUUUCCACAAUACGUACAUCAAAUCUCAGUGACUGGAUAAAAUACUCAACAUCAUAAAUGCCAUGGAAGCCACUUUCAUCAUGCCAGAAGGAGUUAGCAUCCAACUCAGGCAGCACAAGGGUAGCAUUCAUGAUUCUAGCAGCAAGAACCGCAUUACAAAUCGCACUUCGUUGCUGAUUCAAACCACCAUUACAAC